Molecule: ribosomal RNA, 497 nt
Filed under: uncultured bacterium
Lineage: Bacteria
Description: partial 16S ribosomal RNA
Rfam family: Bacterial small subunit ribosomal RNA
Source: RNAcentral
GAUGAACGCUGGCGGCGUGCCUAAUACAUGCGAGUCGAGCGAACAGACGAGGAACUUGCUCCUCUGACGUUAGCGGCGGACGGGUGAGUAACACGUGGAUAACCUACCUAUAAGACUGGGAUAACUUCGGGAAACCGGAGCUAAUACCGGAUAAUAUAUUGAACCGCAUGGUUCAAUAGUGAAAGACGGUUUUGCUGUCACUUAUAGAUGGAUCCGCGCCGCAUUAGCUAGUUGGUAAGGUAACGGCUUACCAAGGCAACGAUGCGUAGCCGACCUGAGAGGGUGAUCGGCCACACUGGAACUGAGACACGGUCCAGACUCCUACGGGAGGCAGCAGUAGGGAAUCUUCCGCAAUGGGCGAAAGCUUGACGGAGCAACGCCGCGUGAGUGAUGAAGGUCUUCGGAUCGUAAAACUCUGUUAUUAGGGAAGAACAAAUGUGUAAGUAACUAUGCACGUCUUGACGGUACCUAAUCAGAAAGCCACGGCUAACUACGUG